UACGUAGGGAGCAAGCGUUGUCCGGAAUCAUUGGGCGUAAAGCGCGCGUAGGUGGCCCAGUAAGUCCGUUCUGAAAGUCACAGGCUCAACCUGUGAAAGCGGAUGGAUACUGCUGGGCUAGAGUCCGGAAGAGGCGAGUGGAAUUCCUGGUGUAGUGGUGGAAUGCGUAGAUAUCGGGAAGAACACCAGUGGCGAAAGCGGCUCUCUGGGGACCACCUGACGCUGAGGCGCGAAAGCGUGGGGAGCGAACCGG
Molecule: ribosomal RNA, 253 nt
Filed under: uncultured bacterium
Lineage: Bacteria
Description: partial 16S ribosomal RNA
Rfam family: Bacterial small subunit ribosomal RNA
Source: RNAcentral